Molecule: RNA transcript, 2119 nt
Organism: Daucus carota subsp. sativus
Lineage: Eukaryota; Viridiplantae; Streptophyta; Magnoliopsida; Apiales; Apiaceae
Exons: 5
Source: RefSeq, a predicted model, not a curated record
UUCGAAAACUUUGUCCGCAGACCGAAAGCGAGUAUCAGAAACCAUGGAGAUUAAUACGCAGUGAGGUUAGAUAACGUAAUCAGUUGAGUGCUGUUCUUAUAUAUUGAAUGAAAGUUUUUCAUAUUUUCCUCCGUUUCGUUUUGUCAAGUACAAAACGUCGUGUCCUCCGCAAUGCUCUCGAUGCCUUUUUGCAGCAGAGGGCUUAGAACAUGCAGAACAAAUGUUCUCGAUAUCAAGGGUUUUGAUGAUUCACUAAUAUGUCAAUGUUUAGUCUAACAUAGUGACAUCAACAGUUUUUUUUGCUGCUGCUCUGAAUGGACAUAUUAAUCGAGAUAACCAUGGUUACAUAUCUCAGCCCCAAGCAAUUAGGAACCCGGCAGGUGAGAAUCUUUAUAAUGUAUGUUCAUUCUUCGUCGUGUUUGAUUUGCAUCUCAUACGCAGUGAAGAUGCUCUCUCGGCUCAUGAUUACGCAUUUUUUAUAUUUGGUAUCAUGGUAGACACACGAACUCUCUUAUUCAUCAUAAACUGAAGUGUAUGGUUUAAUUUUUCAGCGAAUCUCCCUGAAAAUAAUCAAGUCAUAAAUCAAACAGAUUACAGUCUCAGGUUAAUGGCAUUCAAUUUUAUCAGACAUCGGUGAAUUGUCAAUCUUUGUUUUAUGAUGGAAGAUUUUUUUGUCAUUUGUAGUACCUGAGACGUGAUAUGCUAUUUUUGUGUUUUUUUGCUGUGCGAAGAUGUUGUUUUCCUGUUUUAAGCUCUCAAUUGAGCCUAACAUUCUAAGCUGUUGAACCUUAUUUUUUGCAUUUGUAACUCCGUUGAGCUGCAUUAAGAUACAAGGCACCUUUACCACUUAAACCAUGGAAGGAAGAGGCUGACGACAUUCCUGUGCUGCAACUUGAAGUGAUAAGUCUGCAAUCGUUUUAAGCCUUAUUUUGAGCGUUUCUUUAAGAUUUUCUAUGAUUUUAAAUAUGUAAGUUGAUAUGCAGGUUCUAAGAUGGAUGAUAACCCGGGUUCAAGUGAGUCGGGUUAGUUCUACAUGGUUUUCUGAAAAAUAUCUAACUAUGCAGCAUCUCCUUUUCUUACCGUGUAAAAGUUUUCCAUGGCCUGUAAACGAUGUUGGACUAUCAUGUCAAUCUAAUGUGGUUUCUAAUUGGCUAAACCUACAUCAUUUAUCUUCUGUGUUAUUUAUUCACUAUCAGAUCACUUACCUAAAGCUCCUGGUACAGCUCUACAUCAGUUUCUUAGCAAUAGGACAGAGAGAAUUCAAAGACAAAAAACUGAUCAACAACCGCAGGAUGCUCGGUCACAAGCUUCAAUAAAUAGCGCAUAGGGUAGAUGUGAAUGCUGCAGAUCAUACUGGACAAACAGUAUUACACUGGAGUGCGGUGCGGGGAGCUGUUCAGGUUGCAGAGAUCUUGCUCCAAGAGGGUGCCUGUGUUGGUGCUGCUUACAUGUAUGGAUAUCAGCUCAUGUGCUUGGCAGAUUUGGAGCUUGAUUCUAUAAAUCUGUAAGAUUUAGCAGCGAGAAUUAACAAGGUUGUUAUGCUGGAGUUUCUAUCUCAUGGAAGUAUAUGUGUACUCAGUCUCUUAUCUAGACAUUGGUUCAGGCUCGAUCCUUGCAACACUAGGUCACCAGAACUCCCUGGAGUGGAUGCCUUUGUUCUUGACAUUCAUGACGUUGGGAGUUAUUAAGCACCCUGACAUCUCCUCAGUUCUUGGUGUUGUUUAUAUUUUUAGUCGUUAUUUUUAUUUCAAAGGAUAUUCCACUGGCGAUCCUAAGAAGCGUCUAUCUGUCGGCCAGACAUUUGACACUUUUUUGGGGGCGGACUGAUGGUUGCUGGAAAUAGGAAACGGUAAUGGGAACGAACUCUUUUCAGUGGACAGUUGUUAUGAAUUGUUUUGAAUCAAAUACUGCAUCACAUUGUACAAAAUUAAGCUCUACAUUAGCCUUUAUGUAUUUCUAUAUUCACUACUUAUAUGGGUUGAGAAGGCACAGAGACUUGCAACUCAUGUUUAUCAGCUUAUUGCACUCUGCAAGUUUCUGCAAGUUUUUUGGUUUGCAGAAUUUCUCUGGGACACGAUCUUUUUGAUAGAAAAUAUCAAAUGAAAUGAAUAAAAAAUUG